Molecule: long non-coding RNA, 591 nt
Organism: Monodelphis domestica (gray short-tailed opossum)
Lineage: Eukaryota; Metazoa; Chordata; Mammalia; Didelphimorphia; Didelphidae
Source: RefSeq, a predicted model, not a curated record
UUUGAGAUAAGCCCUGGGAAAUGAUUCAGGGUAAGAAAGGAAUUGUGGGAGUCUAAAACUGAAAAUAACUGAACUAAACUUCCAUCUUGGAUUUCAUCUCUCUGCCUACAUUUCCAUCAAGCUGAAGAUGGGGGUUUGCUCUAAAACAUUCUUCCUGGAUAGCCAAGAUUUUGUGGAGAAAUCUUUGACAUCUAGGUAGAGGAUUAUUUGGAGGAAACCAAUUUUCCCUGAGUCUAAAUAUCAUCUUCUAGUGGUUCAGCUGCCAGAAUUCCUCUUGGCUAAGAUCCAAAUAAAGAGAAGAUGGUGAGAUUGGUUCUGAACACUUGCUCCACUGGAAAUGGAAGUUACCCACAUCUGUUGACUGAAUGUGAGCAUUGACAAAGAGUGGCCAUAAAGAACAGCAGCAGUUCUUCAGACGUGUGGGACAACAGUCUUCAGUUUGGUUGUCAAGAUGAAUGAGGUCACCUGGAUAUUGUUUAGACAACUGCAAGGCAGAGCAAUAUGACCCAGGACUGGUGUCAGAUCUCAAUACAACUAUAAGGCCAGGGGCAGCUGGAAACUCUUAAGCAUUAAAAACAACUGAGAAAGUAA